Molecule: small RNA, 106 nt
Filed under: Marmota monax (woodchuck)
Lineage: Eukaryota; Metazoa; Chordata; Mammalia; Rodentia; Sciuridae
Source: RNAcentral
CCUGGGUGCAGUGGCCACACCUGUAAUCCCAGUGACUCGGGAGGCUGAGGCAGGAGGAUCUCAAGUGCAAGGUCCGUCUGGGCAAUUUAGUGAGAUCCUAACUCAA